RNAcentral lists this ribosomal RNA (253 nucleotides) under uncultured bacterium. RNAcentral describes it as "partial 16S ribosomal RNA". It matches the Rfam family "Bacterial small subunit ribosomal RNA", at positions 524 to 776 of the family's 1533-position model. The record is from RNAcentral.
UACAGAGGUCCCAAGCGUUGUUCGGAUUCACUGGGCGUAAAGGGUGCGUAGGCGGCCGGGUAAGUCUGACGUGAAAUCUUCAAGCUCAACUUGGAAACUGCGUCGGAUACUAUUCGGCUAGAGGAAUGGAGGGGAGACUGGAAUACUUGGUGUAGCAGUGAAAUGCGUAGAUAUCAAGUGGAACACCAGUGGCGAAGGCGGCAUCCUGGACCGACAUUGACGCUGAGGCGCGAAAGCCAGGGGAGCAAACGGG